GCAGAACAUGAGCUGCUCUCUCUCUCUCACUAUGUGUCUGUAGUGACUCUCGGUCUAUAUUUAACCUGCAGGAGGACUCUCACUCACACAUACUCGACAUAAUCGAGGCCGCUAACAGACGACGAGCAGGAUGGAGGAGGAGGCUCCAUCCCGGCGCUCUGUGGCUGAGCUUGCGGGAAGAUUCAAAGGCUCGGCUCCUCCACACGAUGCUGCUGGACCUGAAACGGAGAAGCCGGUCAGACGCCGCCCUCCUCGCUCCUUACAGCUCCCCAAAACACAUGGAGACAACCAGGAGCAGUCACCAGGCGUCACCUCUCCUGUACCUGCUGCUAAAAGGAACUCUGCUCUGAUCGAGAAGCUCCAGGCCAGCCUCGUUCUCCCCUCCGCGGCCCCGCUGCUCUCUCCAAAGAGCCCUGGCUUCAGACUGCUGCCUCACACCUUCCCCCCCUCCUCCCCCGGCUCCAGCCCAGCUACCCCGGUAAUCAGUUCUUCUGCAGCAACCCCCACCAGCCCUGUAACAGAAGAGGAAGGCCCCGCCUCCUUUGAAGCCCCUCCCACUGUGGAGGAGGGGUCCAUCCUGUCAAACGCCAACAUCAAGGGCAGAGCUCGCCACUCCAUCCGACGACGCCCGCCAUCCCGCCGCCACAGGAAGUCCAGCAGUGGAGACGAGGUUGGCGUCGCCGACAGUGAAGGAGAUGUGUCUCUGAGCUCGCCAAGUGAACCAGAAGUCAAAACGCCAGGAGGAGGCGAGAAGGAGGAGGCAGGAGAGCUUUUCAAACAGGAAGGUCAAACAGACGAGGUGAAGGAGGAUAAAACAGACGCUUCAACGUGUCCUGAGAAAAACGAGUCCCACGAAGAAGAUCGCUCAGAGAUCAGCGCCGAGCCCGGAGAGGAAGACGAGAAGAAGGAGGAGGCAGAGGAAGGAUCCAAGGGAGGAGAGGAGGGAGAAGGAUCUUCAUCAGGAAGAAAGGAGGAGGAGGAGGAGAAAAACUCUGAAGAAAAAAAGGAAGAAGAUUUGACUGAAGGAGCGACAAACACAGACUGCAAAGAAGAAGAAAAGACCCAGGUGAUUCCAGCUUUCCAUACUGCCACUGUGCACUGCCUGCUCAGCAGCAAACAGGCUGGCUGGUGAACAUAGUGCAGCAUUUAGCAGCUAAAGAGCCAGAUAGUUCCUUCAGCAGUGGCUAGAGACCAAAACCAGAGCUAAAAGAGAGGGAACACUGGACUUCCAUUCAUCAGGAGGCAAGUCAGUGUUCAGUCCGGUGAGCGACCAGAUGUAUGGCCAAGUCACAGAUGGAGCACUGCAGCCAUGUUGAGCCCCUGGGGUGCUGGGAGGGAGACCCUGCUGCAGCGCGGCCUGGAGGAAAAGGCCUGUCUGAGAGUCUGGACUCUGUGCAGAUGAACGUUUACGAAACUCUGAUGAAGCGAGGAAGCCGACUGAAACUCUCUCUCUCCUGUCUCACGAUGAGUGCAGCUUGACAAGAAAACUCCUGAAAGCGACUGAUGGGAAUUCGUUUUUAACUAAUCCUCUAUUCAAAGCCUUUUUACACUGCAGCGCUGGAUUUGUUUGUUUUUUUAAGAAUAUAAUGUGUUUUUAUCGUUUUCAUGCUCAUGUUUUCUUGCUGUCCGGUGCCCUCAGAGCUGUGACUGAUAAUGAUGACGAUGGCGAUGUGUGAUAUUUGCUGUCUGUACAUUUAUUUAAAGCACCGAAGCUUUCUGUGCAACAGUAUGCAAAGCGUCAACAAACACGCCUGUCUUCAUGUAAUUUUGUCUCUGUGUUGGCUCAGUCACAGUGUUCAGAGGGUCACCUGGUGCCUUAUUCCAAAGACUCAUAAACAAAUACUUUGUCACAAAACCAGCCUCUGAACUUUUUAUUGUUUUAAACUGUGCAAAGACUCAGAAGGUAAAGAAACUGUAAAUUUUAUCGUAAAGCAAAGUUUUAAAACGGGGUAUGUGACAUUGUGCCUUUAAGUCUGAAACUGGAAUUAAAAUACAUAUUUUGGCUAAA
RNA transcript from Chelmon rostratus (copperband butterflyfish), 2008 nucleotides. It is a transcript of the gene named duboraya, with no coding region annotated. NCBI's taxonomy places the organism in Eukaryota, Metazoa, Chordata, Actinopteri, Chaetodontiformes, Chaetodontidae. The record is from RefSeq and is a predicted model, not a curated record. The transcript is spliced from 7 exons.